Cavia porcellus (domestic guinea pig) is the source of this 70-nucleotide transfer RNA. It matches the Rfam family "tRNA". Rfam says of the family: Transfer RNA (tRNA) molecules are approximately 80 nucleotides in length. The record is from Rfam. NCBI's taxonomy places the organism in Eukaryota, Metazoa, Chordata, Mammalia, Rodentia, Caviidae.
GGGGAUUUAGCUCAGUGGCAUAAGCACCUGCCUUGCAAGCAGGCAGUCCUGAGUUCGAUCCCCAGUACCA